CUCCUCGAUGUGCCUGGUGGAAGC
Molecule: non-coding RNA, 24 nt
Filed under: Cricetulus griseus (Chinese hamster)
Lineage: Eukaryota; Metazoa; Chordata; Mammalia; Rodentia; Cricetidae
Source: RNAcentral